RNAcentral lists this non-coding RNA (45 nucleotides) under Schistosoma mansoni. The record is from RNAcentral. Lineage: Eukaryota; Metazoa; Platyhelminthes; Trematoda; Strigeidida; Schistosomatidae.
AUCCGAGUGACGAGUCCAAAAUAGGACGAAACGCGCGCCCUGGGU